AUACUUACCUGGCAGGGGAAACACCAUGAUCAGGAAGGUGGUUUUCCCAGGGCGAGGUUCACCCAUUGCACUGCGGGUGUGCUGACCUCUGCGAUUUCCCAAAUGCGGGAAACUCGACUGCGUAAUUUGUGGUAGUGGGGGACUGCGUUCGCGCUCUCCCCUG
RNAcentral lists this small nuclear RNA (163 nucleotides) under Sus scrofa (pig). RNAcentral describes it as "U1 spliceosomal RNA (ENSSSCG00070001385.1)". It matches the Rfam family "U1 spliceosomal RNA". From Rfam's summary of the family: U1 is a small nuclear RNA (snRNA) component of the spliceosome (involved in pre-mRNA splicing). Its 5' end forms complementary base pairs with the 5' splice junction, thus defining the 5' donor site of an intron. Lineage: Eukaryota; Metazoa; Chordata; Mammalia; Artiodactyla; Suidae. The record is from RNAcentral.